This 674-nucleotide ribosomal RNA is filed under the name uncultured bacterium. RNAcentral's name for it is "bacterial SSU rRNA". It matches the Rfam family "Bacterial small subunit ribosomal RNA", at positions 48 to 771 of the family's 1533-position model. The record is from RNAcentral.
CCUACACAUGCAGUCGAGCGCACCUUCGGGUGAGCGGCGGACGGGUUAGUAACGCGUGGGAACGUGCCCAGAUCUGCGGAAUAGCCACUGGAAACGGUGAGUAAUACCGCAUACGCCCUUCGGGGGAAAGAUUUAUCGGAUUUGGAUCGGCCCGCGUUAGAUUAGGUAGUUGGUGGGGUAACGGCCUACCAAGCCUACGAUCUAUAGCUGGUUUUAGAGGAUGAUCAGCAACACUGGGACUGAGACACGGCCCAGACUCCUACGGGAGGCAGCAGUGGGGAAUCUUAGACAAUGGGGGCAACCCUGAUCUAGCCAUGCCGCGUGAGUGAUGAAGGCCUUAGGGUCGUAAAGCUCUUUCGCCAGGGAUGAUAAUGACAGUACCUGGUAAAGAAACCCCGGCUAACUCCGUGCCAGCAGCCGCGGUAAUACGGAGGGGGUUAGCGUUGUUCGGAAUUACUGGGCGUAAAGCGCGCGUAGGCGGACCAGAAAGUUAGGGGUGAAAUCCCGGGGCUCAACCCCGGAACUGCCUCUAAAACUCCUGGUCUAGAGUUCGAGAGAGGUGAGUGGAAUUCCGAGUGUAGAGGUGAAAUUCGUAGAUAUUCGGAGGAACACCAGUGGCGAAGGCGGCUCANUGGCUCGAUACUGACNCUGAGGUGCGAAAGUGUGGGGAGCAA